UAUCACGGCCAUAUCACCCUGUAGCCCAAGACUGGUUGCCCACUGAAGCUAAGCAGGGCUGAGCCUGGUCAGUACCUGGAUGGGAGACCUCCUGGGAAAACUAGGUUGCUGCUGGAA
Molecule: ribosomal RNA, 117 nt
Filed under: Sinocyclocheilus anshuiensis
Lineage: Eukaryota; Metazoa; Chordata; Actinopteri; Cypriniformes; Cyprinidae
Source: RNAcentral